Long non-coding RNA from Lampris incognitus (smalleye Pacific opah), 505 nucleotides. RefSeq lists it as uncharacterized. The record is from RefSeq and is a predicted model, not a curated record. NCBI's taxonomy places the organism in Eukaryota, Metazoa, Chordata, Actinopteri, Lampriformes, Lampridae. The transcript has 3 exons.
GUAAUGGACCACACCUCUCUCUCUCUACCGGUUAAAAGGUGUGGCGAGAGAGCGAGAGAGAGAGAGAGAGAGAGAGAGAGCGACAGAAGUGGAGGGUGAGAGAGUGAUACGAGGGGAUUUCAUGAAGUCGGAAAAGUCAGUGUUCUUGAACCGAGGCCUACCUAACCCUGCGGGAUCCAGGCCUACGUAACCCUGCAGGAUCCAGGCCUACGUAACCCUGCAGGAUCCAGGUCUACGUAACCCUGCAGGAUCCAGGCCGACGUAACCCUGCAGGAUCCAGGCCUACAUAACACUGCGGGAUCCAGGCCUACGUAACCCUGCAGGAUCCAAGCCUACAUAACCCUGCAGGAUCCAGGCCGACAUAACCCUGCAGGAUCCCGGACGGGACCUUGCGGCGCUGCGAAGAAACAGCAACAGCAACAGCAUGGAGUGCAGAAAGGAGGACGAGGAGGAAGACCCGCCCAGUUCACCUUCGCCGGAUGGUCAGGAAACAGACUCCUCAACU